Molecule: ribosomal RNA, 563 nt
Filed under: Staphylococcus aureus
Lineage: Bacteria; Bacillati; Bacillota; Bacilli; Caryophanales; Staphylococcaceae
Description: partial 23S ribosomal RNA
Rfam family: Bacterial large subunit ribosomal RNA
Source: RNAcentral
CACUGCCGAGAAAAGCCUCUAGAUAGAAAAUAGGUGCCCGUACCGCAAACCGACACAGGUAGUCAAGAUGAGAAUUCUAAGGUGAGCGAGCGAACUCUCGUUAAGGAACUCGGCAAAAUGACCCCGUAACUUCGGGAGAAGGGGUGCUCUUUAGGGUUAACGCCCAGAAGAGCCGCAGUGAAUAGGCCCAAGCGACUGUUUAUCAAAAACACAGGUCUCUGCUAAACCGUAAGGUGAUGUAUAGGGGCUGACGCCUGCCCGGUGCUGGAAGGUUAAGAGGAGUGGUUAGCUUCUGCGAAGCUACGAAUCGAAGCCCCAGUAAACGGCGGCCGUAACUAUAACGGUCCUAAGGUAGCGAAAUUCCUUGUCGGGUAAGUUCCGACCCGCACGAAAGGCGUAACGAUUUGGGCACUGUCUCAACGAGAGACUCGGUGAAAUCAUAGUACCUGUGAAGAUGCAGGUUACCCGCGACAGGACGGAAAGACCCCGUGGAGCUUUACUGUAGCCUGAUAUUGAAAUUCGGCACAGCUUGUACAGGAUAGGUAGGAGCCUUUGAAACGUGA